RNAcentral lists this ribosomal RNA (569 nucleotides) under uncultured bacterium. RNAcentral's name for it is "bacterial SSU rRNA". It matches the Rfam family "Bacterial small subunit ribosomal RNA", at positions 356 to 915 of the family's 1533-position model. The record is from RNAcentral.
GGGGAAUUUUGCGCAAUGAGCGAAAGCUUGACGCAGCAACGCCGCGUGACCGAAGAAGCAUCUAGGUGUGUAAAGGUCUGUCGUUAAAGAAGAAGUGAAUAUAAAUAAAUAAUUUAUAUUUUUGACGGUAUUUAACAAGAAAGCUCCGGCUAACUCCGUGCCAGCAGCCGCGGUAAUACGGGGGGAGCAAGCGUUAUCCGGAAUUACUGGGCAUAAAGGGCGCGUAGGCGGAUUAGUAAGUCAGUUUUAAAAUACAACAGCUUAACUGUUGAUUAGGAACUGAAACUGUUAAUCUUGAGUGCGAGAGAAGGAAGUGGAAUUCCUGGUGUAGCGGUGAAAUGCGUAGAUAUCAGGAGGAACACCGGUGGCGAAGGCGGCUUCCUAGCUCGUAACUGACGCUAAGGUGCAAAAGCGUGGGUAGCAAACAGGAUUAGAUACCCUGGUAGUCCACGCUGUAAACGAUGUAUACUUGAUGUUGGGGGAUCUAACCCCCUCAGUGUCGUAGCUAAUGCGAUAAGUAUACCGCCUGGGGACUACGGUCGCAAGGCUGAAACUCAAAGGAAUUGACG